UUGAAGAGUUUGAUCAUGGCUCAGAUUGAACGCUGGCGGCAGGCCUAACACAUGCAAGUCGAGCGGAAACGAGUUAACUGAACCUUCGGGGGACGUUAACGGCGUCGAGCGGCGGACGGGUGAGUAAUGCCUAGGAAAUUGCCCUGAUGUGGGGGAUAACCAUUGGAAACGAUGGCUAAUACCGCAUGAUGCCUACGGGCCAAAGAGGGGGACCUUCGGGCCUCUCGCGUCAGGAUAUGCCUAGGUGGGAUUAGCUAGUUGGUGAGGUAAGGGCUCACCAAGGCGACGAUCCCUAGCUGGUCUGAGAGGAUGAUCAGCCACACUGGAACUGAGACACGGUCCAGACUCCUACGGGAGGCAGCAGUGGGGAAUAUUGCACAAUGGGCGCAAGCCUGAUGCAGCCAUGCCGCGUGUGUGAAGAAGGCCUUCGGGUUGUAAAGCACUUUCAGUCGUGAGGAAGGUAGUGUAGUUAAUAGCUGCAUUAUUUGACGUUAGCGACAGAAGAAGCACCGGCUAACUCCGUGCCAGCAGCCGCGGUAAUACGGAGGGUGCGAGCGUUAAUCGGAAUUACUGGGCGUAAAGCGCAUGCAGGUGGUUUGUUAAGUCAGAUGUGAAAGCCCGGGGCUCAACCUCGGAAUAGCAUUUGAAACUGGCAGACUAGAGUACUGUAGAGGGGGGUAGAAUUUCAGGUGUAGCGGUGAAAUGCGUAGAGAUCUGAAGGAAUACCGGUGGCGAAGGCGGCCCCCUGGACAGAUACUGACACUCAGAUGCGAAAGCGUGGGGAGCAAACAGGAUUAGAUACCCUGGUAGUCCACGCCGUAAACGAUGUCUACUUGGAGGUUGUGGCCUUGAGCCGUGGCUUUCGGAGCUAACGCGUUAAGUAGACCGCCUGGGGAGUACGGUCGCAAGAUUAAAACUCAAAUGAAUUGACGGGGGCCCGCACAAGCGGUGGAGCAUGUGGUUUAAUUCGAUGCAACGCGAAGAACCUUACCUACUCUUGACAUCCAGAGAAUUUUUCAGAGAUGAAUUGGUGCCUUCGGGAACUCUGAGACAGGUGCUGCAUGGCUGUCGUCAGCUCGUGUUGUGAAAUGUUGGGUUAAGUCCCGCAACGAGCGCAACCCUUAUCCUUGUUUGCCAGCGAGUAAUGUCGGGAACUCCAGGGAGACUGCCGGUGAUAAACCGGAGGAAGGUGGGGACGACGUCAAGUCAUCAUGGCCCUUACGAGUAGGGCUACACACGUGCUACAAUGGCGCAUACAGAGGGCGGCCAACUUGCGAAAGUGAGCGAAUCCCAAAAAGUGCGUCGUAGUCCGGAUUGGAGUCUGCAACUCGACUCCAUGAAGUCGGAAUCGCUAGUAAUCGUGGAUCAGAAUGCCACGGUGAAUACGUUCCCGGGCCUUGUACACACCGCCCGUCACACCAUGGGAGUGGGCUGCAAAAGAAGUAGGUAGUUUAACCUUCGGGGGGACGCUUACCACUUUGUGGUUCAUGACUGGGGUGAAGUCGUAACAAGGUAGCGCUAGGGGAACCUGGCGCUGGAUCACCUCCUU
Molecule: ribosomal RNA, 1549 nt
Filed under: Allocatenococcus thiocycli
Lineage: Bacteria; Pseudomonadati; Pseudomonadota; Gammaproteobacteria; Vibrionales; Vibrionaceae
Description: bacterial SSU rRNA
Rfam family: Bacterial small subunit ribosomal RNA
Source: RNAcentral